UAUAAUGGGUCAGCGACUUAUAUUCUGUAGCAAGGUUAACCGUAUAGGGGAGCCGCAGGGAAACCGAGUCUUAACUGGGCGUUAAGUUGCAGGGUAUAGACCCGAAACCCGGUGAUCUAGCCAUGGGCAGGUUGAAGGUUGGGUAACACUAACUGGAGGACCGAACCGACUAAUGUUGAAAAAUUAGCGGAUGACUUGUGGCUGGGGGUGAAAGGCCAAUCAAACCGGGAGAUAGCUGGUUCUCCCCGAAAGCUAUUUAGGUAGCGCCUCGUGAAUUCAUCUUCGGGGGUAGAGCACUGUUUCGGCUAGGGGGUCAUCCCGACUUACCAACCCGAUGCAAACUACGAAUACCGAAGAAUGUUAUCACGGGAGACACACGGCGGGUGCUAACGUCCGUCGUGAAGAGGGAAACAACCCAGACCGCCAGCUAAGGUCCCAAAGUCACAGUUAAGUGGGAAACGAUGUGGGAAGGCACAGACAGCCAGGAUGUUGGCUUAGAAGCAGCCAUCAUUUAAAGAAAGCGUAAUAGCUCACUGGUCGAGUCGGCCUGCGCGGAAGAUGUAACGGGGCUAAACUGUGCACCGAAGCUGCGGCAGCGACACUAUGUGUUGUUGGGUAGGGGAGCGUUCUGUAAGCCUGCGAAGGUGGCCUGUGAGGGUUGCUGGAGGUAUCAGAAGUGCGAAUGCUGACAUAAGUAACGAUAAUGCGGGUGAAAAGCCCGCACGCCGGAAGACCAAGGGUUCCUGUCCAACGUUAAUCGGGGCAGGGUGAGUCGACCCCUAAGGCGAGGCCGAAAGGCGUAGUCGAUGGGAAACAGGUUAAUAUUCCUGUACUUGGUGUUACUGCGAAGGGGGGACGGAGAAGGCUAUGUUAGCCGGGCGACGGUUGUCCCGGUUUAAGCAUGUAGGCGGAGGUUC
This 917-nucleotide ribosomal RNA is filed under the name Klebsiella aerogenes. RNAcentral describes it as "partial 23S ribosomal RNA". It matches the Rfam family "Bacterial large subunit ribosomal RNA", at positions 611 to 1533 of the family's 2925-position model. Lineage: Bacteria; Pseudomonadati; Pseudomonadota; Gammaproteobacteria; Enterobacterales; Enterobacteriaceae. The record is from RNAcentral.